Nematolebias whitei (Rio pearlfish) is the source of this 286-nucleotide non-coding RNA. RefSeq annotates it as small Cajal body-specific RNA 6. The record is from RefSeq and is a predicted model, not a curated record. NCBI's taxonomy places the organism in Eukaryota, Metazoa, Chordata, Actinopteri, Cyprinodontiformes, Rivulidae. The transcript has a single exon.
GGUCAGUGAUGAGGAGUAAAAGGUCUGAUCGCCCACAAUCCUCUGCUGCCUCUGGCUCCCAGCAGCUCGCUCUCUGCUCCCAUCAUGCUCCAGUGAUGCAGCAAUGGGUCCAGCAGCUGCUGACACACAGGAUGUGACAUCACACAGGAUGUGACAUCAUAGAGAAGCUGCUCUGAGACUCUACAGCCUCUCUGUGAUGAUGUUUGACAUCCAACACAACCAACCUACAUGGAGCCUAAAGAGGAGGAGGAGGAGGGAGCUGAUCUCAAGUUUUCAACCUGAGACC